This 91-nucleotide ribosomal RNA is filed under the name Shouchella clausii. RNAcentral describes it as "partial 16S ribosomal RNA". It matches the Rfam family "Bacterial small subunit ribosomal RNA", at positions 1 to 89 of the family's 1533-position model. The record is from RNAcentral. Lineage: Bacteria; Bacillati; Bacillota; Bacilli; Caryophanales; Bacillaceae.
UUAAUGGAGAGUUUGAUCCUGGCUCAGGACGAACGCUGGCGGCGUGCCUAAUACAUGCAAGUCGAGCGGACAGAAGGGAGCUUGCUCCCGG